RNAcentral lists this ribosomal RNA (369 nucleotides) under Triticum aestivum (bread wheat). Its description in RNAcentral is "partial small subunit ribosomal RNA". Lineage: Eukaryota; Viridiplantae; Streptophyta; Magnoliopsida; Poales; Poaceae. The record is from RNAcentral.
AUGAUGGAACUGCAAGAGGCGUUUUUAUCUCUUACUUUGGCGAUAUGCAGCGAACUGAUCAGUGCAGAUGACUUCAAUGUCGUGGCUCUAACGAUCGUCCCAGCAGAAGGUGUAUUUGUGGCGAAGCUCAAGACUAUAGUAGAAGAGAACUGUGAGGCCACGGCUAACAGCCUAAGAAUCGUCAAGCUUUGCGGUCGGAUUGCUGUUACAGUGAUGCGGCACGGCCAGUACAGCGCGCACUUCAAGAAUCAGAAAUUCAUGGAGACACUGUCCAAGGCUCCGGGAAUCAUGUCUAGCCUUGAAAGCUACAUGCUCUUCGCUGGGACUGAUUGUGGAGCGAAGAAGACCGCCAGGCCCCUCCUCUCUUGA